RNAcentral lists this small nuclear RNA (148 nucleotides) under Dasypus novemcinctus (nine-banded armadillo). RNAcentral describes it as "U1 spliceosomal RNA (ENSDNOG00000027667.1)". It matches the Rfam family "U1 spliceosomal RNA". From Rfam's summary of the family: U1 is a small nuclear RNA (snRNA) component of the spliceosome (involved in pre-mRNA splicing). Lineage: Eukaryota; Metazoa; Chordata; Mammalia; Cingulata; Dasypodidae. The record is from RNAcentral.
GUAUGUGCAGGAGAGAUAACAAGAUCAUGAAGAUGGUUUUUCCCAGGGUGAGGCCUAUCCACUGCAUUCUGGAUGUGCAAUUUCUCCAAGUGUAGGAAACUCUACUGCAUAAUUUGUGGUAGUGGGGGACUGUAUUUGCAUUCUCCCC